AUGGCCUCCGCCCAGCCCCUCCGCGCCAUCAGCCUCAAGGCGUUCGACGAGACGAGGGCCGGCGUCAAGGGCCUGGUGGACGCGGGCGUCACCGCCGUCCCGUCCAUCUUCCACCACCCGCCGGAGUCCCUCACCCACGGCGCAAGUCGACCUCAUCGCUUCACCGUGCCGGUCAUCAACCUGUCAUCCGCCGUGGGCACCACCACCACGCGGGCCGCGGUGGUCGCGCAGGUGAGGGCGGCCGCGGAGACGGUGGGCUUCUUCCAGGUGGUGGGCCACGGCGUGCCGGAGGCGGCCACGUCGGCGAUGCUGGCGGCGGUGCGGGGCUUCAUCGAGGAGCCCGUGGAGGCCAAGGCGCCGUACUACACGCGGGACACCGGCCGGCGUGUGCGGUACCAGAGCAACCUCGACCUGUUCCAGUCGACGGCGGCCAAUUGGCGCGACACGCUCUUCAUGGAGAUGCCGCCGGCGCCCGAGGAGCUCCCGGCGGCGUGCAGGCGCGUCGCGCCGGAGUACGCGCGGCUGGUGCAGCGGCGGCUGGGCCGCGCGCUGCUGGGGCUGCUGUCGGAGGCGCUGGGCCUCCGCCCCGGCCACCUGGAGGAGGAGCACGGCCUCGCCUGCCACUACUACCCGGCCUGCCCGGAGCCGCAGCUCACCCUCGGCACCCCGCGGCACACCGACGCCAGCUUCCUCACCGUGCUGCUCCAGGACGCCGUCGGCGGCCUCCAGGUGCUCGUCGACCUCGAGGACAAGGCGGUGUGGGUGGACGUGCCGCCGGUGGCCGGGGCGCUGGUGGUGAACGUGGGCGACUUCCUGCAGCUCAUGUCCAACGACAGGUUCAGGAGCGUCGAGCACCGCGUGGUGUCCAACGGCGUGGGGCCACGGGUCUCGGUGGCGUGCUUCUUCCGGACGGACCGCGCCGCCGCGCCGACGAGGGUGCUGGCGCCGAUCGUCGCCGACGGCGACGAGGCGCGGUACAGGAGCACGACGGUGGAGGAGGUCGUCCGGCAGUACUACAAGGUCAAGGGCCUCGCCGGCAUCUCUGCACUGCAGCACUUCAGACUCUGA
Molecule: ribosomal RNA, 1068 nt
Filed under: Triticum aestivum (bread wheat)
Lineage: Eukaryota; Viridiplantae; Streptophyta; Magnoliopsida; Poales; Poaceae
Description: partial small subunit ribosomal RNA
Source: RNAcentral